UGUGCCAGGCUAGUGCAAGAGUCUCUGUUGCUGCCUAGGGGGGUCCCAACUCCCAGGGGAGCCUGCUGUGCCCUCCAAGCCUCCUCAACACAGUGUCCAUCACGCUCAGGCCUGGGCUGUGCCCGCAAGGUGUGCGAGGAGUGAGGCAGGGCUCUCCGGGCACUUCUCUAGGCCGCUGGGGAGAGGCUGUGCAGGAACGUGUUGAAACGGCACCGAUCCUGUCCCUGCAGAGGGUGGUGCUGUGUAAAUGGGCUUGAAAGGGAGCACUAUCUAGUGGGCAGACUCUUGUGCCCCUUCCCCCCCGCCCCACCUCUCCCCAGCUUCAUCCCUUGUGGCUGUGCCCCCUUCAACUUAUCCCUGUGCCAUUCCUGCCUCUCCUCAGCUGGUUCCCUGCCCCGGAUCUAUUCCUCUCUCAGUCCCUAAUGCACAUGCCACUUCCCAGCCCUGGACUUGGCAACCCCAUUUCUUCUCUAUCACUGGCACAAGGCUUGGUCUCUGGUGGGCUAUUGGCACAUUAAAAAUAAACACGGCACCACCUGGAGAGCUGUGUAAAGUCUGUGACAAAAAAUGGCACGAGGGCCCUUCUCACAUAACAUUUAGGGUUUUUAAAUAAUAAUAUUGUUGUUUAAUUAACAUUUUUAUUGUGAUACGCUCUAGACUAUUGCAAUAGACUGGUCUCCAAAUGUAGUAGACCCAGUAAAAUACAUAGCAGUGACAGAUCCUCACUCAGAGGUUGUGAAAGACUGAAAGAGAAUGGCUGGAUGAGAUGGAAAAUGCAAGGAAAAGACAGGGUCAUAAUCAUAGGUUGUUUUAGCAUAGACUACUUAUGUGCAUACAUCUUAGUCAACUAGUAGCAAGUCUUCCCUCACAUUUAUACUAUAGAGAAAUUCACUGUACCAAGUUAUUUGUUUUAGUUCAUCUACUCCUAUUCCACGUUCCCCGGAUGAGCCUGUUUUGUGAUGUCUUAUUAGUUACUGUGGGCAUGGGAGUGUCUUGGUACAUGAUUAUUAGACUGGGCUCUGAAGCACUAUUGUUAGCUGGCAUUCUGGUGACUUACGGGGAAACAAAGGCCUUUUGUAAGAUCUUGGUGCUAUUUAACUUGUUUGUUUUCUUAUGCUUCAGUGAAUGCCUAGAAGACUAAAUCCUGUCUUUUAAACAGCUACAGAAAUAUAUUUUCCAAAGGUUCAAGAUGGCAAACUGCAGCUGUAUAAUGUAUGGAUUCUUUUGGUUCAUUUUGCUGGUGUUUAUUGGUUGGCCCAUAAGCAUUUUCCUGAGUGGCCUUUAUGGAUUCCUUUCCCCAAUCACUACUUUAGUAGGACUAGAUGAUGUCAGUGAAGCGCUGCUGCGUGGAGUAAAUCUGGGACGGCAGUGCGCUAGGAAUGUACUAAGUGGCAAGCCCCUCUGUUGAGAAGCGAAGACAAUAUCACAGCUGGCCUGCCUUCUACCAUGUGUUUCAUAGCAUUUAUUGUUAACCUUAAAUGUUUUCACUUCUGUACAAAAGUUGUUUGGUUUUAAUGAUGAAUUAAUGACAGUUGGUAGUUUAUGACGGGAAGAAUAAUAAGGAAGGUGUUUUGCUCUUUGGAGAAUGCAAUGGUAGCUUCCUGGUAAUCCCAAAAUGAGUAACAAUGCUAUCUUCACUUGUUUGAGUAAAUGCAUUGAAAGUACAGAGAAGCCCAAACAUGAACUUCACAUUCAUAUUCAAAUUCUUAAAAUCGAGGUUCCAUUUUCUAGGCAUACACAUUAUUGGCUCAGAGCUCAAGUGUUUCAAAUUUGGGAAGGUGAAGAUAUCUUUGGAUUCUGGAUUGUACUUUAUUUCAUUAUAAGAGAUGUGAAAUUCAGAUUUGAGGUUCUGGUAAGAUGCAUGUAAGUAUGUAUUUAUUUAUGUAUACACUUAAGAGCAUUCUUAAUUUAAUUCUUUAUAACAGAUAUUGACUUUCAUUUUACUUUACCACUUUGUCUAAUGAUAAGGAAGUUUUUAAGGAAAUUUUGUUUAUGUGGAUUCACUGCGUUGAAAUAUGACUUCAGGAUCAUUCAUGAAUAAUCAAUUGUCAUAAACUUACAUGUGAUUUUUUUUUUCUUUUCCAUUUAAUUGGAAUUUAAUUUUUUUAAUUUUAGAAUACGUUAAACCCUAAGUUAAAAUGUUAUCCAACCAGGUGCUUAGAAUCCUUAGACCUACUAAAAUUCGUGGAAAUUAUGGUGUUUUCAAAGUUUUUUUAAUUUGGUGGUCUUAACCUGUUUUUGCUAAUCCCUCUUCUGAUGUUUUUAUUAGAGUGAGUGUUUUUAUGGAAAAUUAUCUAGGUUUUUACAAACGUAGUGUUCUUUUGGAAGUGACCAUCAAUUCAACAACAGUGAAUAGCUAUUGUUGACAAGGUCAUUUUAUCUGCAUACUUUGUGUAUUUCCGGAAAUUACUUAGAAAUUAUUAAAACUGGAAAAAAGCUUGAAGGAAAUGAUCCAGAGGUAGGGUUCAGGGCAAAAUGGGCCAAUACUCUAACGCAUUAUUGAAAAGAAAAGGACUCAUCCACUUACAACAGUAAAAAAGCCUUCCAAGCUUUGUGGGGGGUGGGGAAAUAUCCCUGAAGCACAGCCUACCGGGAUUUACUGAUCUGGCUGUAGAAGUUUAAAUUGCAGGAGAGCACAUGUAAAUGAAGCCUUCACCCUUCUUGUAUAAUUUUAUACCUUAUUUUGGAUUGGUCUUCUCUUUAAAACUUUAUCCUCUACAAUUUGUUUGCUUAAUAAAUGUUCAAACAUAGGCAAGUUAUGGUUGUUAUGAGAGCUAUAAGUGUGAAUUUUCUGGAUAUUUGAAUUUUCAUUCAUGAAGUUGUACUGAAAUUUUUUAACUGAUUUCUUUAAAAAAAAAAAAUUAUUUGUAUUUAUUACACAUACAUGUGGCCUAUAAUUAAAAUAGUAUGAUGCUUUA
Long non-coding RNA from Alligator mississippiensis (American alligator), 2918 nucleotides. RefSeq lists it as uncharacterized. NCBI's taxonomy places the organism in Eukaryota, Metazoa, Chordata, Crocodylia, Alligatoridae. The record is from RefSeq and is a predicted model, not a curated record. The transcript has 2 exons.